GCUGACGAGUGGCGGACGGGUGAGUAAUGUCUGGGAAACUGCCUGAUGGAGGGGGAUAACUACUGGAAACGGUAGCUAAUACCGCAUAACGUCGCAAGACCAAAGAGGGGGACCUUCGGGCCUCUUGCCAUCAGAUGUGCCCAGAUGGGAUUAGCUAGUAGGUGGGGUAACGGCUCACCUAGGCGACGAUCCCUAGCUGGUCUGAGAGGAUGACCAGCCACACUGGAACUGAGACACGGUCCAGACUCCUACGGGAGGCAGCAGUGGGGAAUAUUGCACAAUGGGCGCAAGCCUGAUGCAGCCAUGCCGCGUGUAUGAAG
RNAcentral lists this ribosomal RNA (320 nucleotides) under uncultured bacterium. RNAcentral describes it as "bacterial SSU rRNA". It matches the Rfam family "Bacterial small subunit ribosomal RNA", at positions 87 to 410 of the family's 1533-position model. The record is from RNAcentral.